UUUGAAGUUCUUUCUAUUUAGAAUAAAUUUGCAAUUCAGAUUCUUACUCAAUGAUUGAAUAGACAUAAGGUAUUUUUUAAUUUUUAAAUAUCUAGCUCCAUUUUCAGAUUUAAUCAUUGCAGUUUCUAUAUAAGUAAUUUUUAAUCUUAAACCAUUACCAAUUAUUUUUGAACAAUCAUACAUGAGUUCUCAUAAAUUUCCCACCUCAGAAGUUAUAUGUGUAGAGGCUCUGGAGUCAAGAAUCCAGUUGCCCUCUCCAUCACUAGCAUUGUUAUCAAGGGAUGCAAAAGCUUUAAGUCCUUUUCUGCAAGUCUUGGCUGAAUGUCCAGCCUUCUCGCAUAAUUGGCAAACCACAGAAUUUGAAUUUCUUUUCCAUCUCGAGUUAAAAUUCCUGUUUGAAUUUUGAUUUAUAUUUGAAUUAGAACGAUGAUUCUACCCUCUAGAAUUAUUUGAGUACUUGUCUGCAAAAGUUAUAGGAGUCGUGGUUGAAUUUUGGGAACUAGAAUCUUCUUCAAGAAUCGAUCCUCUUUAAUGAUUAGAUGAAGAAAAUCAUCAAACAACAUGUUUUCUUGACUGCGCACACUUGAAAUAAAAGUGUUUGAAUUCUGGCCCCAGACCGUCGGCCAUACAUUCAACGAUGUCUAUAUCCCAAAGCUUAUCGCCAGUGGCUGAUAAACUAUCGGUGAGCGUGUAAUGACCGAUGAUGGUCGGAGACGCAAUAGAGGUAGAUGAUCGGAGGAGAUGAGAAGAUUGGGUUGGAGUUCUGUAAGUAGGGAGAUGAAGAAGCAGAAUAUUUGUUGUAAAAUUUUUGUUGCCUCUCUCAGGCAUUUAUUCUCCCAAAUAAAGCAUAACGUCUGUAACGGAAAGCAAUAAUUAGUAAAUAAAGUCCUUCUGGCGUAUGGAGGUCGUGCGGCGAGCAGAACGGCGAGGUGCGUCCUCUGUUUCUUCUGUGAUUCCAUCCUGUUGUGGCUGUGCAUCCACGCUUUGGCGUACCAGCUCCAGAUCGAGAUCGAGUGGUGUCGGCCACGUUACAGAGUGCACGAACUUUAUUAAAGAAAUCACUCAUCGUUUUAUCAUCAGACUUUUUCGAAUUCCUCAGUUGCUCACAAAUACCCUGAAAAUGAAUCACCUUGCACGUCGAGAGGUGAGUUUCAAGUAUCGCCCAGCAGUCAACGACAGUCUCAUGAUUCAUCACUUAUUAAACCUAAAUCAAUGUAAACCUGAGAUUAGUUAGUUGAUUUGUUAUAAUUCAGUUGACUAAAUCAAUAUAUAAAUAAUGUAAUCAGCUAUGAAUAAAGAAAUUAAUUUUCAGUUAUACCGUUUAGACUUGUCUCUUCUUCUUCUUCCCAAUCUUGUAAGUUUUCUACUUUUACGACG
Molecule: long non-coding RNA, 1377 nt
Filed under: Zostera marina
Lineage: Eukaryota; Viridiplantae; Streptophyta; Magnoliopsida; Alismatales; Zosteraceae
Description: long non-coding RNA (ZMAR_LNC003225)
Source: RNAcentral